GCCGGGCGCAGUGGCUCACGCCUGUAAUCCCAGCACUUUGGGAGGCCGAGGCGGGCGGAUCACAAGGUCAGGAGAUCGAGACCAUCCUGGCUAAUAUGGUGAAAUCCCAUCUCUACUAAAAAAUACAAAAAACUAGCCCGGCGAGGUGGCGGCNNNNNNNNNNGCCGCCACCUCGCCGGGCUAGUUUUUUGUAUUUUUUAGUAGAGAUGGGAUUUCACCAUAUUAGCCAGGAUGGUCUCGAUCUCCUGACCUUGUGAUCCACCCGUCUCGGC
Non-coding RNA from Chlorocebus sabaeus (green monkey), 272 nucleotides. It matches the Rfam family "Metazoan signal recognition particle RNA". From Rfam's summary of the family: The signal recognition particle (SRP) is a universally conserved ribonucleoprotein. It is involved in the co-translational targeting of proteins to membranes. Lineage: Eukaryota; Metazoa; Chordata; Mammalia; Primates; Cercopithecidae. The record is from Rfam.